Molecule: ribosomal RNA, 378 nt
Filed under: uncultured eukaryote
Lineage: Eukaryota
Description: partial 18S ribosomal RNA
Rfam family: Eukaryotic small subunit ribosomal RNA
Source: RNAcentral
CAAUAGCGUAUAUUUAAGUUGUUGCAGUUAAAAAGCUCGUAGUUGGAUUUCGGGUGGGACGCAGCGGUCUCGCAUCGCGUUUGUACUGCUGCAGCCCUCCUUCUUGCCGGGGGCGGCCUCUCGGACUUCACUGUCUGGGGGUCAGAAUCGGCGAUGUUACUUUGAGUAAAUUAGAGUGUUCAAAGCAAGCUUACGCUCUGAAUAUAAUAGCAUGGGAUAACACGACAGGACUCUGGCCUAUCGUGUUGGUCUAUAGGACCAGAGUAAUGAUUAAGAGGGACAGUCGGGGGCAUUCGUAUUCCGUUGUCAGAGGUGAAAUUCUUGGAUUUACGGAAGACGAACAUCUGCGAAAGCAUUUGCCAAGGAUGUUUUCAUUGA